ACAGUGGACGCGAGCAUCUUUGUUGUAAGUAAUGAAGAGCGUACGGUGGAUGCCUUGGCACCAGGAGCCGAUGAAGGA
Molecule: ribosomal RNA, 78 nt
Filed under: Rhodococcus sp. 05-2255-2A2
Lineage: Bacteria; Bacillati; Actinomycetota; Actinomycetes; Mycobacteriales; Nocardiaceae
Also listed under: 4 other names
Description: partial 23S ribosomal RNA
Source: RNAcentral